Molecule: ribosomal RNA, 253 nt
Filed under: uncultured bacterium
Lineage: Bacteria
Description: partial 16S ribosomal RNA
Rfam family: Bacterial small subunit ribosomal RNA
Source: RNAcentral
UACGUAGGAGGCGAGUGUUGUCCGGAUUUACUGGGCGUAAAGCGCGCGCAGGCGGCACACUAAGUACGAUGUGAAAUCUCCCUGCUUAACGGGGAGGGUGCACUGUAAACUGGUGAGCUCGAGGACGGUAGAGGGGGGUGGAAUUGCUGGUGUAGCGGUGAAAUGCGUAGAGAUCAGCAGGAACACCCGUGGCGAAGGCGGCCCCCUGGGCCGAACCUGACGCUGAGGCGCGAAGGCUAGGGGAGCGAACGGG